AGCAGCCGCGGUAAUUCCAGCUCCAAUAGCGUAUAUUAAAGUUGUUGCAGUUAAAAAGCUCGUAGUUGAAUUUCGGGGUCAGUAGGUUGGUCGUGCCACCGGUACGUACUGGUCUCACUGAUUCCUCCUUCCUGAUGAGCUGUAAUGCCAUUAAUUUGGUGUUGCAGGGAAUCUGGACUGUUACUUUGAAAAAAUUAGAGUGUUUAAAGCAGGCUAACGCUUGAAUACAUUAGCAUGGAAUAAUGAAAUAGGACGUUCGAUCCUAUUUUGUUGGUUUCUAGGAUUGACGUAAUGAUUAAUAGGGAUAGUUGGGGGCAUUAGUAUUCAAUUGUCAGAGGUGAAAUUCUUGGAUUUAUUGAAGACUAACUACUGCGAAAGCAUUUGCCAAGGAUGUUUUCAUUAAUCAAGAACGAAAGUUAGGGGAU
RNAcentral lists this ribosomal RNA (425 nucleotides) under uncultured Glomus. RNAcentral describes it as "SSU rRNA". It matches the Rfam family "Eukaryotic small subunit ribosomal RNA", at positions 569 to 998 of the family's 1831-position model. Lineage: Eukaryota; Fungi; Glomeromycota; Glomeromycetes; Glomerales; Glomeraceae. The record is from RNAcentral.